Molecule: ribosomal RNA, 939 nt
Filed under: Triticum aestivum (bread wheat)
Lineage: Eukaryota; Viridiplantae; Streptophyta; Magnoliopsida; Poales; Poaceae
Description: partial small subunit ribosomal RNA
Source: RNAcentral
AUGUGUGUUCCAAAAGACCAAUGAGGAAUGGGUUUCUGUGAUAUACACUGCUUUGACCUGGCUUUGUUAGCGAAACAAGCAUGGCAUCUCUUGGAUAAUCCUGAAUCGUUAUGUGCAACAAUCCUAAGAGCCAAGUAUUUCCUGGAGGGCGAUUUGAUGAGCGUAGUAUUAAAGAAGGGCUCCUCCUUUACUUGUCAAAGCAUUAUGGCGGGAGUGGACUCUCUCAGGAAUGGCUAUAUAUGGGCAGUGGGAAAAGGAGAAAAUAUUGACAUAUGGAGAGAUGCAUGGAUCCCAAAUUGUGCAGAUAGGAAAAUUAUUACACCUAGAAGGGGAAAUCUCCCAACAAAAGUUUCUGAUCUUAUUGACCCAGUCACGAAUUGUUGGGAUGAAAAUUUGGCGAGACAAACUUUGUGGCCAAUUGAUGCCCGUAGAGUCCUAGCGAUCCCGAUCCCUAUACAUAAUAUGUCAGACUUCAUUGCUUGGAGCUAUACAAAAAAUGGUUUAUUCACUGUAUGAUCAGCUUAUGUGGAGGGAUGAAAUAAGCAAUAUGGGAGGAAAUUGGAAUACUCAAACGGCAUGGGUAGAAGUAAGGUCAACACUAUUUGGGGUAAGAUUUGGAAAUGAGCUUGCCCGGCGAAGGUUAAAAUUUUUAUUUGGUGGACGCUUCAUGAGACUCUACCGUGUCGCGCUACAUUGGCUAACAGACAUAUAAAAACUCAGCCAAGCUGCCCAGCAUGUUUGGAUAGGCCAGAAGACAUGAAACGUAUAUUAUUUUUGUGCCAAAAGGCAAAAGAAGUGUGGGAAUAUUUGGGGUUGUAUAAAGUGGUCAUUGACCGUGCAGGAGAGGCAGUCCUUGAAUUCUUACUCCUUACGCCUGAUCAUGAACUACCCAUUCUGGAGUCCCGGAAUGCAGGGGAACUAAUCACUAUAGCUGCUUAG